AGCGAACGCUGGCGGCAGGCCUAACACAUGCAAGUCGAACGAACUCUUCGGAAUUAGUGGCGGACGGGUGAGUAACACGUGGGAACGUGCCCUUUGGUACGGAAUAACUCAGGGAAACUUGAGCUAAUACCGUAUGUGCCCUUCGGGGGAAAGAUUUAUCGCCAUUGGAGCGGCCCGCGUCGGAUUAGCUAGUUGGUGAGGUAAAGGCUCACCAAGGCGACGAUCAGUAGCUGGUCUGAGAGGAUGAUCAGACACAUUGGGACUGAGACACGGCCCAAACUCCUACGGGAGGCAGCAGUGGGGAAUCUUGCGCAAUGGGCGAAAGCCUGACGCAGCCAUGCCGCGUGAAUGAUGAAGGUCUUAGGAUUGUAAAAUUCUUUCACCGGGGACGAUAAUGACGGUACCCGGAGAAGAAGCCCCGGCUAACUUCGUGCCAGCAGCCGCCGUAA
This 449-nucleotide ribosomal RNA is filed under the name uncultured bacterium. RNAcentral's name for it is "partial 16S ribosomal RNA". It matches the Rfam family "Bacterial small subunit ribosomal RNA", at positions 29 to 523 of the family's 1533-position model. The record is from RNAcentral.